AGAGUUUGAUCCUGGCUCAGAGCGAACGCUGGCGGCAGGCUUAACACAUGCAAGUCGAGCGGGCCCUUCGGGGUCAGCGGCAGACGGGUGAGUAACGCGUGGGAACGUGCCCUUCGGUUCGGAAUAACUCAGGGAAACUUGAGCUAAUACCGGAUACGCCCUUUUGGGGAAAGGUUUACUGCCGAAGGAUCGGCCCGCGUCUGAUUAGCUGGUUGGUGAGGUUAUGGCUCACCAAGGCGACGAUCAGUAGCUGGUCUGAGAGGAUGAUCAGCCACACUGGGACUGAGACACGGCCCAGACUCCUACGGGAGGCAGCAGUGGGGAAUAUUGGACAAUGGGGGCAACCCUGAUCCAGCCAUGCCGCGUGAGUGAUGACGGCCUUAGGGUUGUAAAGCUCUUUUCUCCGGGACGAUAAUGACGGUACCGGAGGAAUAAGCCCCGGCUAACUUCGUGCCAGCAGCCGCGGUAAUACGAAGGGGGCUAGCGUUGCUCGGAAUCACUGGGCGUAAAGUGCGCGUAGGCGGCUGAUUUAGUCGAGGGUGAAAGCCCGUGGCUCAACCACGGAAUGGCCUUCGAUACUGGUUGGCUUGAGACCGGAAGAGGACAGCGGAACUGCGAGUGUAGAGGUGAAAUUCGUAGAUAUUCGCAAGAACA
This 654-nucleotide ribosomal RNA is filed under the name uncultured Methylobacteriaceae bacterium. RNAcentral describes it as "SSU rRNA". It matches the Rfam family "Bacterial small subunit ribosomal RNA", at positions 8 to 708 of the family's 1533-position model. The record is from RNAcentral. Lineage: Bacteria; Pseudomonadati; Pseudomonadota; Alphaproteobacteria; Hyphomicrobiales; Methylobacteriaceae.